This 20-nucleotide non-coding RNA is filed under the name Arabidopsis thaliana (thale cress). Lineage: Eukaryota; Viridiplantae; Streptophyta; Magnoliopsida; Brassicales; Brassicaceae. The record is from RNAcentral.
UGACAAGUGGCGCUCUAUUU